RNAcentral lists this ribosomal RNA (253 nucleotides) under uncultured bacterium. Its description in RNAcentral is "partial 16S ribosomal RNA". It matches the Rfam family "Bacterial small subunit ribosomal RNA", at positions 524 to 776 of the family's 1533-position model. The record is from RNAcentral.
UACGUAGGGCGCAAGCGUUGUCCGGAAUUAUUGGGCGUAAAGAGCUCGUAGGCGGUUUGUCGCGUCUGCUGUGAAAUCCCGAGGCUCAACCUCGGGCUUGCAGUGGGUACGGGCAGACUAGAGUGUGGUAGGGGAGACUGGAAUUCCUGGUGUAGCGGUGGAAUGCGCAGAUAUCAGGAGGAACACCGAUGGCGAAAGCAGGUUUCUGGGCCAUCACUGACGCUGAGCUGCGAAAGCUAGGGGAGCAAACAGG